CCUACGGGUGGCAGCAGUGGGGAAUAUUGCACAAUGGGGGGAACCCUGAUGCAGCGACGCCGCGUGAGUGAAGAAGUAUUUCGGUAUGUAAAGCUCUAUCAGCAGGGAAGAACUAACGUCCUUCGGACUUUGGACGGUACCUGACUAAGAACCCCCGGCUAACUACGUGCCAGCAGCCGCGGUAAUCCGUAGGGGGCAAGCGUUAUCCGGAUUUACUGGGUGUAAAGGGAGCGUAGACGGGAGGGCAAGUCUGGAGUGAAAUCUCAUUGCUUAACCAUGGAACUGCUUUGGAAACUGGGAAGAUGGAGGGUAGGAGAGGAAAGCGGAAUUCCUGGUGUAGAGGUGAAAUGCGUAGAUAUUAGGAGGAACACCAGGGGCGAAGGCGGCUUACUGGACUGUAACUGACGUUGAGGAGCGAAAGCGUGGGGAGCAAACAGGAUUAGAUACCCGAGUAGUC
This 457-nucleotide ribosomal RNA is filed under the name uncultured bacterium. RNAcentral's name for it is "partial 16S ribosomal RNA". It matches the Rfam family "Bacterial small subunit ribosomal RNA", at positions 338 to 795 of the family's 1533-position model. The record is from RNAcentral.